CAGCAGUGAGGAAUAUUGGUCAAUGGACGCAAGUCUGAACCAGCCAAGUAGCGUGCAGGAUGACGGCCCUAUGGGUUGUAAACUGCUUUUAUAUGGGGAUAAAGUGGGGAACGUGUUCUCUUUUGCAGGUACCAUAUGAAUAAGGACCGGCUAAUUCCGUGCCAGCAGCCGCGGUAAUACGGAAGGUUCGGGCGUUAUCCGGAUUUAUUGGGUUUAAAGGGAGCGUAGGCCGUUUGGUAAGCGUGUUGUGAAAUGUAGUAGCUCAACUUCUAGAUUGCAGCGCGAACUGUCAGACUUGAGUGCGCACAACGUAGGCGGAAUUCAUGGUGUAGCGGUGAAAUGCUUAGAUAUCAUGAAGAACUCCGAUUGCGAAGGCAGCUUACGGGAGCGCAACUGACGCUGAAGCUCGAAGGUGCGGGUAUCGAACAGGAUUAGA
RNAcentral lists this ribosomal RNA (436 nucleotides) under uncultured Prevotella sp. RNAcentral's name for it is "bacterial SSU rRNA". It matches the Rfam family "Bacterial small subunit ribosomal RNA", at positions 349 to 782 of the family's 1533-position model. Lineage: Bacteria; Pseudomonadati; Bacteroidota; Bacteroidia; Bacteroidales; Prevotellaceae. The record is from RNAcentral.